RNAcentral lists this ribosomal RNA (771 nucleotides) under uncultured bacterium. RNAcentral's name for it is "bacterial SSU rRNA". It matches the Rfam family "Bacterial small subunit ribosomal RNA", at positions 8 to 796 of the family's 1533-position model. The record is from RNAcentral.
AGAGUUUGAUCAUGGCUCAGGACGAACGCUGGCGGCGUGCUUAACACAUGCAAGUCGAGCGGUAAGGCCCUUCGGGGUACACGAGCGGCGAACGGGUGAGUAACACGUGGGUGACCUGCCCCCUACUCUGGGAUAAGCCUGGGAAACUGGGUCUAAUACCGGAUAUGACUGCAUGUCGCAUGGUGUGUGGUGGAAAGUUUUUCGGUGGGGGAUGGGCCCGCGGCCUAUCAGCUUGUUGGUGGGGUGAUGGCCUACCAAGGCGACGACGGGUAGCCGGCCUGAGAGGGCGACCGGCCACACUGGGACUGAGACACGGCCCAGACUCCUACGGGAGGCAGCAGUGGGGAAUAUUGCGCAAUGGGCGGAAGCCUGACGCAGCGACGCCGCGUGGGGGAUGACGGCCUUCGGGUUGUAAACCUCUUUCGGCCCCGACGAAGCGUGAGUGACGGUAGGGGUAGAAGAAGCACCGGCCAACUACGUGCCAGCAGCCGCGGUAAUACGUAGGGUGCGAGCGUUGUCCGGAAUUAUUGGGCGUAAAGAGCUCGUAGGCGGUCUGUCGCGUCGGUCGUGAAAACUUGGGGCUUAACCCUGAGCUUGCGGUCGAUACGGGCAUGACUGGAGUUCGGCAGGGGAGACUGGAAUUCCUGGUGUAGCGGUGAAAUGCGCAGAUAUCAGGAGGAACACCGGUGGCGAAGGCGGGUCUCUGGGCCGAUACUGACGCUGAGGAGCGAAAGCGUGGGGAGCGAACAGGAUUAGAUACCCUAGUAGUCC